AGUGAACGCUGGCGGUAGGCCUAACACAUGCGAGUCGAACGGCAGCACAGUAAGAGCUUGCUCUUACGGGUGGCGAGUGGCGGACGGGUGAGGAAUACAUCGGAAUCUACUUUUUCGUGGGGGAUAACGUAGGGAAACUUACGCUAAUACCGCAUACGACCUACGGGUGAAAGCAGGGGAUCUUCGGACCUUGCGCGAUUGAAUGAGCCGAUGUCGGAUUAGCUAGUUGGCGUGGUAAAGGCCCACCAAGGCGACGAUCCGUAGCUGGUCUGAGAGGAUGAUCAGCCACACUGGAACUGAGACACGGUCCAGACUCCUACGGGAGGCAGCAGUGGGGAAUAUUGGGCAAUGGGCGCAAGCCUGAUCCAGCCAUACCGCGUGGGUGAAGAAGGCCUUCGGGUUGUAAAGCCCUUUUGUUGGGAAAGAAAAGCAGCAGGUUAAUACCCCGCUGUUCUGACGGUACCCAAAGAAUAAGCACCGGCUAACUUCGUG
This 492-nucleotide ribosomal RNA is filed under the name uncultured bacterium. RNAcentral's name for it is "partial 16S ribosomal RNA". It matches the Rfam family "Bacterial small subunit ribosomal RNA", at positions 29 to 507 of the family's 1533-position model. The record is from RNAcentral.